AUCAACUUUCGAUGGUAGGAUAGAGGCCUACCAUGGUGGUAACGGGUAACGGGGUGUUAGGGCACGACACCGGAGAGGGAGCUGAGAAACGGCUACCACAUCCAAGGAUGGCAGCAGGCGCGCAAAUUACCCAAUCCCGACACGGGGAGGUAGUGACAAUAAAUAACAAUACGGGGUCCUUUCGGGUUUCGUAAUUGGAAUGAGUACAAUUUAAAUCUCUUAACGAGGAGCAAUUGGAGGGCAAGUCUGGUGCCAGCAGCCGCGGUAAUUCCAGCUCCAAUAGCGUAUAUUAAAGUUGUUGCAGUUAAAAAGCUCGUAGUUGAAUUUCGGGAUCAGUACGCUGGUCGUGCCUUCGGUAUGAACUGGUGUCACUGGUUCCUCCCUUCUGAAGAACCGUCAUGCCAUUCAGUUGGUGUGGCGGGGAAUCAGGACUGUUACUUUGAAAAAAUUAGAGUGUUUAAAGCAGGCUCGCGCUUGAAUACAUAGCAUGGAAUAAUGAAAUAGGACGUUUGACCCUAUUUUGUUGGUUUCUAGGAUCGACGUAAUGAUUAAUAGGGAUAGUUGGGGGCAUUAGUAUUCAAUUGUCAGAGGUGAAAUUCUUGGAUUUAUUGAAGACUAACUACUGCGAAAGCAUUUGCCAAGGAUGUUUUCAUUAAUCAAGAACGAAAGUUAGGGGAUCGAAGACGAUCAGAUACCGUCGUAGUCUUAACCAUAAACUAUGCCGACUAGGGAUCGGAUGAUGUUAAUUUUUUAAUGACUCAUUCGGCGCCUUACGGGAAACCAAAGUGUUUGGGUUC
Molecule: ribosomal RNA, 797 nt
Filed under: uncultured Rhizophagus
Lineage: Eukaryota; Fungi; Glomeromycota; Glomeromycetes; Glomerales; Glomeraceae
Description: SSU rRNA
Rfam family: Eukaryotic small subunit ribosomal RNA
Source: RNAcentral